Molecule: ribosomal RNA, 433 nt
Filed under: uncultured bacterium
Lineage: Bacteria
Description: partial 16S ribosomal RNA
Rfam family: Bacterial small subunit ribosomal RNA
Source: RNAcentral
AACGAACGCUGGCGGCAUGCCUAACACAUGCAAGUCGAACGAGACCUUCGGGUCUAGUGGCGCACGGGUGCGUAACGCGUGGGAACCUGCCCUUAGGUUCGGAAUAACUCCCCGAAAGGGGUGCUAAUACCGGAUAAUGUCUUCGGACCAAAGAUUUAUCGCCUUUGGAUGGGCCCGCGUUGGAUUAGCCAGUUGGUAGGGUAAAAGCCUACCAAGGCGACGAUCCAUAGCUGGUCUGAGAGGAUGAUCAGCCACACUGGGACUGGGACACGGCCCAGACCACUGAGGGGAGGAAGCAGGGGGGAAUGUUGAACAAGGGGCGAAAGCCGAAACCACCAUGGCCGGGGGAGUAAAAAGGCCCUUGGGUUUGAAAAGCUUUUUUACCCGGAAUGAUAAGACCAGUACGGGGAGAAUAACCCCCGCCAAACUCCGG